Molecule: small nucleolar RNA, 73 nt
Organism: Balaenoptera musculus (blue whale)
Lineage: Eukaryota; Metazoa; Chordata; Mammalia; Artiodactyla; Balaenopteridae
Source: Ensembl
UGGAUCCAUGAUGACUGUUCGGUGCGUUAUGAGUCGUUUACGAUGAAUACGUGUCUGGAACUCUGAGGUCCAA